This 246-nucleotide ribosomal RNA is filed under the name uncultured bacterium. Its description in RNAcentral is "partial 16S ribosomal RNA". It matches the Rfam family "Bacterial small subunit ribosomal RNA", at positions 15 to 263 of the family's 1533-position model. The record is from RNAcentral.
GAUCAUGGCUCAGAUUGAACGCUGGCGGCAGGCCUAACACAUGCAAGUCGAGCGGAUGAGAGGAGCUUGCUCCUCGAUUCAGCGGCGGACGGGUGAGUAAUGCCUAGGAAUCUGCCUAGUAGUGGGGGACAACGUUUCGAAAGGAACGCUAAUACCGCAUACGUCCUACGGGAGAAAGUGGGGGAUCUUCGGACCUCACGCUAUUAGAUGAGCCUAGGUCGGAUUAGCUAGUUGGUAGGGUAAAGG